UACGAAGGGUGCAAGCGUUACUCGGAAUUACUGGGCGUAAAGCGUGCGUAGGUGGUUUGUUAAGUCUGCUGUGAAAGCCCCGGGCUCAACCUGGGAAUGGCAGUGGAUACUGGCAAGCUAGAGUGCGGUAGAGGGUAGUGGAAUUCCAGGUGGAGUGGUGAAAUGCGUAGAGAUCUGGAAGAACACCAAAGGCGAAGGCAGCAUCCUGGGAAGUUCCUGACGCUCGGGUGCGAAAGCCAGGGGAGCGAACGGG
RNAcentral lists this ribosomal RNA (253 nucleotides) under uncultured bacterium. RNAcentral's name for it is "partial 16S ribosomal RNA". It matches the Rfam family "Bacterial small subunit ribosomal RNA", at positions 524 to 776 of the family's 1533-position model. The record is from RNAcentral.